AUUGAACGCUGGCGGCAUGCCUUACACAUGCAAGUCGAACGGCAGCACAGGUGCUUGCACCUGGUGGCGAGUGGCGAACGGGUGAGUAAUACAUCGGAACGUACCUUAUCGUGGGGGAUAACGCAGCGAAAGCUGUGCUAAUACCGCAUACGCCCUGAGGGGGAAAGCGGGGGAUCGAAAGACCUCGCGCGAUUAGAGCGGCCGAUGCCUGAUUAGCUUGUUGGCGGGGUAAAAGCCCACCAAGGCGACGAUCAGUAGCUGGUCUGAGAGGACGAUCAGGCACACUGGGACUGAGACACGGCCCAGACUCCUACGGGAGGCAGCAGUGGGGAAUUUUGGACAAUGGGGGCAACCCUGAUCCAGCAAUGCCGCGUGAGUGAAGAAGGCCUUCGGGUUGUAAAGCUCUUUUGUCAGGGAAGAAACACCGGCUCUAACACAGUCCGGGAAUGACGGUACCUGAAGAAUAAGCACCGGCUAACUACGUGCCAGCCGCCGCCGUAA
RNAcentral lists this ribosomal RNA (501 nucleotides) under uncultured bacterium. RNAcentral's name for it is "partial 16S ribosomal RNA". It matches the Rfam family "Bacterial small subunit ribosomal RNA", at positions 29 to 523 of the family's 1533-position model. The record is from RNAcentral.